This 346-nucleotide transfer-messenger RNA is filed under the name Deltaproteobacteria bacterium. It matches the Rfam family "transfer-messenger RNA". Rfam says of the family: Bacterial tmRNA, also known as 10Sa RNA or SsrA, is named for its dual tRNA and mRNA-like properties. Its role is to liberate the mRNA from a stalled ribosome. To accomplish this part of the tmRNA is used as a reading frame that ends in a translation stop signal. The record is from RNAcentral. Lineage: Bacteria; Pseudomonadati; Myxococcota; Myxococcia. RNAcentral also lists the same sequence under 1 other name.
GGGGGCGAUCUGGAUUCGACGGGGGUAGGAACGCCGAGGUUGCGUGCCCGGGAUCCUGGGUACCGGUAACAACCCCAGGGCUGCUUAAACGCAGACGAACCUGUAGCACUGGCUGCCUAAGGGCAACCACGUCUGACUUGGCCGCGCCCGUAGGCUGAGAUCAGGCGACGCAAAUCGGGAUAAGCGGCGGCGAGGGCUCGGGCGCCGCUGACGAAAAUGCACGAGCUGGUUGUCGGCGAUCCUGUUCGUGGGAGCGCCGGCCACGAGAACAAAGCACGAAACUACGCACGUAGACGCCCAGGCCGACCGCUUCCGGACGGGGGUUCGAUUCCCCCCGCCUCCAUCC